GAUGAAGAACGCAGCGAAAUGCGAUAAGUAGUGUGAAUUGCAGAAUUCAGUGAAUCAUCGAAUCUUUGAACGCACAUUGCGCCCCUUGGUAUUCCAUGGGGCAUGCCUGUUCGAGCGUCAUUUGUACCCUCAAGCUUUGCUUGGUGUUGGGCGUCUUGUCGUAUUACGACUCGCCUUAAAUACAUUGGCAGCCGGCACUUUGGCCUAGGAGCGCAGCACAUUUUGCGAUCGUAGCCCGUUGUACUGGCGUCCAUCAAGAACAUUUACCACGUUUGACCUCGGAUCAGGUAGGGAUACCGCUGAACUUAAGCAUAUCAAUAAGCGGAGGA
RNAcentral lists this unclassified non-coding RNA (329 nucleotides) under soil metagenome. RNAcentral's name for it is "partial contains 5.8S ribosomal RNA, internal transcribed spacer 2, and large subunit ribosomal RNA". The stretch from base 1 to 120 matches the Rfam family "5.8S ribosomal RNA", at positions 35 to 154 of the family's 154-position model. The record is from RNAcentral.